This 253-nucleotide ribosomal RNA is filed under the name uncultured bacterium. RNAcentral's name for it is "partial 16S ribosomal RNA". It matches the Rfam family "Bacterial small subunit ribosomal RNA", at positions 524 to 776 of the family's 1533-position model. The record is from RNAcentral.
UACGUAGGGGGCAAGCGUUGUCCGGAAUCAUUGGGCGUAAAGCGCGCGUAGGCGGCCCUGUAAGUCCGUUGUGAAAGUCGAAGGCUCAACCUUCGAAAGCCGAUGGAUACUGCGGGGCUAGAGUCCGGAAGGGGCGAGUGGAACUCCUGGUGUAGCGGUGGAAUGCGCAGAUAUCAGGAAGAACACCAACGGCGAAGGCAGCUCGCUAGGACGGUACUGACGCUGAGACGCGAAAGCGUGGGGAGCAAACAGG